CCAAAGUCAUCUCCUGGACCUGUGCUGGGGUCUAGGGGACUAAUUUGGGAGGUUCUUUUUCCGCUCAGAUUAGCAUCACCAAUAAAAAACUGUUGCUGAGACUGGAACAGCACAAGUUAAUUCACUGGCCAGAGCAUGGAGAAGCCUGCUCUGGCUUCUGAACCUAGUUCAAAAAUCAAUUUCUCAACCUGAUUAGGGCUGAGACAUCAUAUAUACAGGAAGGUCGAGGUAAUUGGGAAGAAAUUGCGUGAAGAGAGGAAAGAAUAUUUAUAACUUAUCUGAGAACAGGGAUAUGGUUUGUGGAUCCAGUACCGAGGCAACGAUCCUUUUCAGUCCUUUUUUGUGCUCCUCUGAUUGUUGCCAUGGGAACUGUCAAUUGUUGUGAUGCUGGUAGGUGUGUCACUUAGCAUGCUAAUGUGUUACAGUGCGUGGAUAAUGAGGCUCAAGGUCUACUGAAGGUCUGGUCUUCGCCCUCUUGUGCCUAGCCUUCUAAUCAGUUCUUGCUUGUUUUUUUUGCAGCUUCCUCCUUCAGAAAAGAACAGUUAAUUUCCAUUCCAGGGAAGAGCAGCUAUAUGAUUCUGGGGCAACACCUGUUAUCAGAAAUAGGAGGGCAGAGGAUUGUCAACAACCCCUUGGAGUGUGUAGUGUUCUGUCCAUGUAGAAAUGCCAGGUGGAUCCAGUUCCUGAUGACAUCUUCUUAUAGUAUUUUGUGUGGCAGGCUCCUUGCACAGGACUGGAAGGAGGAAUGACUGCUCUGAAGAACAUAUUCUGAAAGAGUGCAACACAAUAGAGAAGACCUGCCUCAGAGACAAGGGAAUGAACUCUUUUUAGCCUACAUUUGUCUCCAUUUGUUAAAUGAACAAAAUGAUUGCCUAACUCAAUUUUUAUAGAUGGCAAAUAUUUUACUAAAGAAAAAACAUGAGAAUUAAGAUAAUCAAAUCUAAAUAAGUUACAUAAAAUUAAAAAGCAACCACUUUUGCUUCAAUUAUCUAGAUAUCAAGUUUUUUUGUUUGCUUUGCUUAAAUUCCUCAUAUAUCUUCUUCAUGUUUUUCUUUUAUAAUGUUGUAGUUUCCUUGUCUUUGUUAGUAUAUAUUCAAAAUAACUGGUUUUACUCAUUUGUUAAGAAACCUUGAAAAUGAAUGCAUAACUUGAGUAAUAAAACUUGAAAUUUUAAAA
Bubalus bubalis (water buffalo) is the source of this 1176-nucleotide long non-coding RNA. RefSeq lists it as uncharacterized. The record is from RefSeq and is a predicted model, not a curated record. The transcript has 2 exons. Lineage: Eukaryota; Metazoa; Chordata; Mammalia; Artiodactyla; Bovidae.